UGGGAAACAGGUUAAUAUUCCUGUACUUGGUGUUACUGCGAAGGGGGGACGGAGAAGGCUAUGUUGGCCGGGCGACGGUUGUCCCGGUUUAAGCGUGUAGGCUGGUUUUCCAGGCAAAUCCGGAAAAUCAAGGCUGAGGCGUGAUGACGAGGCACUACGGUGCUGAAGCAACAAAUGCCCUGCUUCCAGGAAAAGCCUCUAAGCAUCAGGUAACAUCAAAUCGUACCCCAAACCGACACAGGUGGUCAGGUAGAGAAUACCAAGGCGCUUGAGAGAACUCGGGUGAAGGAACUAGGCAAAAUGGUGCCGUAACUUCGGGAGAAGGCACGCUGAUAUGUAGGUGAAGCGACUUGCUCGUGGAGCUGAAAUCAGUCGAAGAUACCAGCUGGCUGCAACUGUUUAUUAAAAACACAGCACUGUGCAAACACGAAAGUGGACGUAUACGGUGUGACGCCUGCCCGGUGCCGGAAGGUUAAUUGAUGGGGUUAGCGGUAACGCGAAGCUCUUGAUCGAAGCCCCGGUAAACGGCGGCCGUAACUAUAACGGUCCUAAGGUAGCGAAAUUCCUUGUCGGGUAAGUUCCGACCUGCACGAAUGGCGUAAUGAUGGCCAGGCUGUCUCCACCCGAGACUCAGUGAAAUUGAACUCGCUGUGAAGAUGCAGUGUACCCGCGGCAAGACGGAAAGACCCCGUGAACCUUUACUAUAGCUUGACACUGAACAUUGAGCCUUGAUGUGUAGGAUAGGUGGGAGGCUUUGAAGUGUGGACGCCAGUCUGCAUGGAGCCGACCUUGAAAUACCACCCUUUAAUGUUUGAUGUUCUAACGUUGGCCCGUUAUCCGGGUUGCGGACAGUGUCUGGUGGGUAGUUUGACUGGGGCGGUCUCCUCCUAAAGAGUAACGGAGGAGCACGAAGGUUGGCUAAUCCUGGUCGGACAUCAGGAGGUUAGUGCAAUGGCAUAAGCCAGCUUGACUGCGAGCGUGACGGCGCGAGCAGGUGCGAAAGCAGGUCAUAGUGAUCCGGUGGUUCUGAAUGGAAGGGCCAUCGCUCAACGGAUAAAAGGUACUCCGGGGAUAACAGGCUGAUACCGCCCAAGAGUUCAUAUCGACGGCGGUGUUUGGCACCUCGAUGUCGGCUCAUCACAUCCUGGGGCUGAAGUAGGUCCCAAGGGUAUGGCUGUUCGCCAUUUAAAGUGGUACGCGAGCUGGGUUUAGAACGUCGUGAGACAGUUCGGUCCCUAUCUGCCGUGGGCGCUGGAGAACUGAGGGGGGCUGCUCCUAGUACGAGAGGACCGGAGUGGACGCAUCACUGGUGUUCGGGUUGUCAUGCCAAUGGCACUGCCCGGUAGCUAAAUGCGGAAGAGAUAAGUGCUGAAAGCAUCUAAGCACGAAACUUGCCCCGAGAUGAGUUCUCCCUGACUCCUUGAGAGUCCUGAAGGAACGUUGAAGACGACGACGUUGAUAGGCCGGGUGUGUAAGCGCAGCGAUGCGU
RNAcentral lists this ribosomal RNA (1489 nucleotides) under Escherichia coli. RNAcentral's name for it is "partial 23S ribosomal RNA". It matches the Rfam family "Bacterial large subunit ribosomal RNA", at positions 1419 to 2886 of the family's 2925-position model. The record is from RNAcentral. Lineage: Bacteria; Pseudomonadati; Pseudomonadota; Gammaproteobacteria; Enterobacterales; Enterobacteriaceae.